Salvelinus fontinalis (brook trout) is the source of this 1762-nucleotide long non-coding RNA. RefSeq lists it as uncharacterized. The transcript is spliced from 3 exons. Lineage: Eukaryota; Metazoa; Chordata; Actinopteri; Salmoniformes; Salmonidae. The record is from RefSeq and is a predicted model, not a curated record.
GGAUCAUGUUGUCCCUCUAGGUCAGCCACAGCAGGACUUUUAGUUUGAAGUAAAGUAUUGUAUUUUACUUUACUCUUGGGCAGGAACGGGUCAAACAUGAAAUGGAAUUGAUUUGAUAUUGGUAUUGGGUGGUGGUAUCCUUAGCUUACAACAUGUGACUGGAACAGAAUGGACUGGCAACACAUAGUAUUAACACAGUACUUCCUCUUCCAUUGCCAGUUACUGUCCCUGUCGAACAUACAGUACAUACUACCAAUGCAAGGUCACAAAGGUGCCAAAGCUCAACAGGAAAAAUCACAUCAUUUGUUUAAAUUACCCCUCUUUCAUUUUAUGGUCUAAGCAAUUUACAAUUAUGUCAUACGUUUAUCCCUAAAGAUUUCUGAAAUCUCUUACCUUUCCCUGCUCCUUCCCAUGUUUCCCUCUCUCUCUAUCGAUCUCAGAUUGAGCACCUGGACCUGGUCCACCACAUGCUGGUCUAUGGCUGCCCCUUGUCUUUGAACCAGACCUACGUGCAGAAAUGCUUCACGGGGGGACCAGCGGACGAAUGCUUCAGAGUGGUGUUUGCCUGGGGUGUGGGAGGAGGGGCUUUCGAUCUUCCAGAAAUUCGCUGGCAUCCCUAUUGGAGGACAGGAUUAUGAUGACUUCUACAGGCUGGAUUAUCAUGCCACAAGCAAUGGAUUCCCCUUGGUGGAUGAGAAACAGAACUACACCCUCCUGACUGAGGAAGAUGGUCAAACCACAUUGACCUUCUGGAGGACCAUCCAAUCAUGUGACGAGGAAAACUUCCGCAUUACUGCGAGUCAACUGUUUCGCAGACAAACUGUUAAAAAGUAAAGCGAACUGAAAGCGCUGUAAUGGGAAUUGUAAUGUUUGUGCUUUUCUUAUAACUCAUUUCUGUGUUCUACUCAUGUGCUGUUCUUAUAACCAAGAUUGACUUCAAGUGUCCUUGUGUAAGAAUUUCCACAACAGUGCUAAAAGUAUUAAAGCGGAACAUCAUGUUCCCUUAUCAUUGACUUUCUAUUCAGAAAAGGUUUGCUAAUAUCGACUCAACCUAAAGCCUGCUGAGUAGUUGCCCUUUUACCUAAAUGCAUGUAUUCUGCAGAACGAAGUUAGAUAAGUUUCUCAAGGGAGGAUGGGCCAAAAUAUCCUUCCCCAGGAGGAAAUUUGUGCGUCGGUAAUAAUGGCAUAGCCUUUUAUACUAGACCAUGGAUCUCCAACCCUUUUCCUACAGAGCUACCGUUCUUCACUCCACUGUUUUUCACUCCAACCCUUAUCCAUCAUGCAUUUUUAAUCAGCUGUUUGGUAAGGUAAAUCGGGUGAGUUAUAAGAGGUUGGAGUGACCCUAAAGGUGGGUAGUUUUCCAGGAACAGUGUUGGAGUGACCCUAUAGGAGGGUACUCUCCAGGAACAGUGUUGGAGAGCCCUGCGCUGGACCAUUGUUUCCUGGGUUCACGUUUAGAUUUUUGCCCUAGAAAUCCACAACUGAUUCAAAUAACCAACUAAUCAAGCUUAGACUAUUUGAAUCGGCUGUAGUGCUAGGGUAAAAACUGGGACACAGGACUGAGUUUGAGGGGGGGACUGUGCUAGUGUUGCAUCGACCUACUGAUUAUUUUAUUUGUAGUAAUUUGCAAAAAACGACAGCAUGAACACAGGGACGCUUGCAAACAUUCUCAAAAGUGAGCUGUUGUAACCCUACAUAGUUCCCGAGGUAUUCAGAAAUCUAUGCAGUUUAAAUAGCCUUAUUAAAGACAGUGGCAUCAUAA